CCUGGCGGCAAUAGCGCGGUGGUCCCACCUGACCCCAUGCCGAACUCAGAAGUGAAACGCCGUAGCGCCGAUGGUAGUGUGGGGUUUCCCCAUGCGAGAGUAGGACACUGCCAGGU
RNAcentral lists this ribosomal RNA (116 nucleotides) under Yersinia pseudotuberculosis. Lineage: Bacteria; Pseudomonadati; Pseudomonadota; Gammaproteobacteria; Enterobacterales; Yersiniaceae. The record is from RNAcentral.